CAGCAGCCGCGGGAAUACGAGGGGGGCAAGCGUUGUUCGGAAUUAUUGGGCGUAAAGGGUGCGUAGGCGGUUCAGCAAGUCUCGUGUGAAAUCUUCGGGCUCAACCCGAAGUCUGCACGGGAAACUACUGGGCUUGAGUAAUGGAGAGGUGAGUGGAAUUUCCGGUGUAGCGGUGAAAUGCGUAGAUAUCGGAAGGAACACAUGUGGCGAAAGCGGCUCACUGGACAUUUACUGACGCUGAUGCACGAAAGCUAGGGGAGCAAACAGGAUUAGAUACCCCUGUAGUCCCUGUCUCUUAUAC
Molecule: ribosomal RNA, 301 nt
Filed under: uncultured bacterium
Lineage: Bacteria
Description: partial 16S ribosomal RNA
Rfam family: Bacterial small subunit ribosomal RNA
Source: RNAcentral